This 69-nucleotide transfer RNA is filed under the name Hystrix brachyura. RNAcentral describes it as "tRNA-Val". It matches the Rfam family "tRNA". From Rfam's summary of the family: Transfer RNA (tRNA) molecules are approximately 80 nucleotides in length. Their secondary structure includes four short double-helical elements and three loops (D, anti-codon, and T loops). RNAcentral also lists the same sequence under 1 other name. Lineage: Eukaryota; Metazoa; Chordata; Mammalia; Rodentia; Hystricidae. The record is from RNAcentral.
ACAAAGUGUAGCUUAAAUAAAGCAUCUGGCUUACACCCAGAAGACUUCAGGUAAUACUGGCCACUUUGA